GAAAGUCAUUCAGGUUUUUAAUCACAUGAAGAUGAGUGAUUUUGGGUGGACUAAGUAAUAUGGAAUAAUAAAACCCCAAAAUGAAAAUUGUGGCUACAUAUUGAACAUAUUGAAGCAUUUUGAAGAAAGAAAGCUAUACAGGUUUGGAAUGACAUGAGGUGAAACCAGCUGGCAUUCUCUAACUGAUACAUCCACCAUUUUUAAUCAUCUUUUAAUCAGCACGCUAAAAGCAUUUUACACCCUGUGAUCUAGCAUCCUAGCUAAUGCACAUCACCACCUGCACGGACAGAGGAAGAACGGGCAAUCCAAGCAGCUCUCUGCACACACCUGCACCUGUCUAAUGUUUCAUGGGCCAUGAGCGAGAAAGAGGUCUGCUAAUCUGCCCACGUGGCUGGGCAGCGUUGCUUUUUUCCUGGAGGCCCAUUGCUGACCAUGCAGUGGUCUAAGCCUUUUUCUUUAUUCAAAUCAAGGCAGUUGUGUAGGGGGCCAUGAGCAGAGACACCCAACACCCAGCAAUCACACUGUCCUCCACUCACAGCGCACACUCUAAAUGAUUAAUGAAGCUGGCUCACCUUCCCUCUCAGGAGGGACGCGAAACCCGAUAGCGCCGGGAGAGGCUGCGCUUAGCCGCGUGCGCGUGUGUGUGUGUUUGUGUGUGUUUGCAUGAGCACAAGCACUAGGAGAAGACAUGUAGGGCUACAAGUUUCAUCAGUGUCAUCUGGUCGUUGACGCAGAGAGAGUUCACAGUAGUGUGUCGGGAGCAUUUUUGUAGAAGAUGAUGACUGGCUAGAAGUAACAUUUGACUCCGUUCACAUGAUAGUUCAUACCGAUGUUCCACCACGUGCAUCAUUUCAAGUUUUAACACAGUUAAUCAGAGUAUUGCGCCAUUAUCUAAGAUGCUAAAUCAUGUCAGUGCUUGUUCUCUUUCUCUCUCUCUCUCACUCUCCUUCUCUUGUCCUCUUGUGUGUUGGCCCCCUGGGUGAUCAAGUUUCAGCCCUCUGUCCUCCUGGCAGGCAGAGGGAUUAAAUGUUCAUGCAUAGGGAAGUGACACCACCAGUGUCUGGGCAGGAACAUGCUUCUCAGACUGUAAUCAAAGCACUAUCUUUCAUUCUCUCUCUCUCUCUCGCGUCUCGCUCUCAUUUACUCACUCUUAUGUUUUCUUGCUUAUUUUCAUAUGCUCGUUUUGGAUACACUGUUUAAGAUUUUUAGAGAUUUUAUCCAAUAAAAUUCAUCAAAAUUAGUUUCGGUCAAGUGAUAUAAUCUCUGGUGUAAGUAUAUUUGCUAAUCCGUACCAAUUACAGUAAUGUCGUUAUGGUGUGUAAUGUGUUGAAACACCUGUGACAUAUAAAUCUAACUUUGUCACAGAUCUUAUUAACAGCUGAUCCUUCGCAUUCCCAAGUGUUUUAUUGGGAAUGCUGGCUUAUAGCAGAUGAGUGGCCCGGUCAGGAAGUGGCUGCCCUAAUGUUUCAUAUACAUUUGAGGAAUGCAUCCAUAUGUGCGGUAUAGAGCACUGUACAUUUCCACAACUGAGUCCUGUACAAGUGUUGCUGUACAAUGUUCUGUAAAUGGGCCGCUGAUGUGA
Long non-coding RNA from Onychostoma macrolepis, 1582 nucleotides. RefSeq lists it as uncharacterized. The record is from RefSeq and is a predicted model, not a curated record. Lineage: Eukaryota; Metazoa; Chordata; Actinopteri; Cypriniformes; Cyprinidae. The transcript has 3 exons.